GGGGGGGGGGUUUUGGGCAUUUCAUUGUUUUUGCUUUGGACCCAUUUGGAAUGUUGUGCAGGCUUACGCAAAUGGAUUGGAGACUGAAGUUACACGUUUGCUGGAGGAAAAUGCUAGGCUGAGGAGACAAGUUGAUAGGUACCGUGCCGCUGCUGCUGCUCAGCUCCCAAAAAAGCAAACUCUGAGUAGAACCUUAACAGCCCCAUUUUAAGAAGGGAAAUAAGAGAGAAGGAGAGGUCUUUUUCCUUUUCCUUUUCCUUUUCCUUUUGGUUUCUGUCUUUUCAAUCCUCUUUUUCUUUCUUUUGUUUCUUUCUUACUACUGUGUUUGACUAGAGGGAGGGAUAUUAUUAUUAUAUAAAUGGUCUCUAGUCUUCUCUAUUA
Rhododendron vialii is the source of this 381-nucleotide long non-coding RNA. RefSeq lists it as uncharacterized. The transcript is spliced from 2 exons. Lineage: Eukaryota; Viridiplantae; Streptophyta; Magnoliopsida; Ericales; Ericaceae. The record is from RefSeq and is a predicted model, not a curated record.